UUCCUCUCUUCUGCCCCUAGGUUUAUCAAGCUAUCCCUGUCUAGCGCCCGAUUUUUUUCCACGCUUCUGUUCUUCUCGCUUCUGUCUCCCAAUACUCACUUGCGAAAUCAGAUCCCAAAAUCACAUAAACACAGAGAAAAGCAGCGAGAGCAUAGAAAAUGAAAUCAACAGAGAUGAAACAGCCCAGAAACGUGAGAAGCAUCCGAGAGAGGUAGAGGGUUUUUAGGUUGCAAUCCGUUUUCUCCCUUUUUCUCUUUUACCAAUUUUUUUCGUUAAUUUCCCAAUCUUCUUUUAUGUUUUGAUUUCAAUGAUUUCAUUCUAAAUAGAAGUCUGGGUUUUGGGUUUCUUGCCUUUGUUUUUGUUCUGAGUUUCCAACCUUGGAAUUGAUUGUAGGCUCUAUAGAAAUCUUAGGGUAAGAACCUUCUUCUCAUGAUCAGACUGGAGAUUUGGGCAAAUCCAGGUUUGCUAAUCAGUUUAUGUUGAGCGAAGAGGCUCUUUUGCUUCGACCACAACACUCCAAUUGCUCAAGUGAAGGUAGCAAAGGAAGCAGUUUAUAAACCAAAGUCAUGAAAACUUUCAGAUUUUAGUGAAGGUGGUUUCUGGGUUUUCACUUGUUUCAUCUGCAAAUAUUUCCCCAAUUGUUAAAUAUUUGGUUCAUAUUUCAGGUAGCAAAGGAAGCAGUUUAUAAACCAAAGUGAUUCAGUCCUUGAGGUUCUAAUUGAUGAUGUUAUUAAUAAUGUGUGGCAUAGUUUAUAGAAUUUCGUACAUAGUUGAAGCAUUGUAGUUUUUGUUCUUUUCUGAGUGUAAUGUUUUGUUUUCUUUGGUUCUGUUUUGAGUUUCAGUUUUACAUGUAUGGUUGGUGAUUUUUGCAUUUGUUGUUUUGAACCACUGUUUUAAUAUAUAUUAACAGUUUUGUUCUUAUAGUUAAACCAUAGUACUUAUGUAGGAAAAAGUGCAAGGAUUUGUUGUUAGAUUAAAGAGUCAUAUAUGGUUGAGCUAUAAAAAAAAGGUAGCUUUCUUAGUUUAUCUGUAAGGUAUAUGAUUAAUUAGGCAUUGAACAGUUUUCAUAGUACUUGAGUUAGCUCUAUUUCAAUUUUUUAAUGAACUUUGGCUUAAAAAAUUUGGAGUUUAAAAAUGAGAAAAGCCAAAGUUGUUUGAUGCAUUUAUAAUAAUAACCAUAAUAAUAGCAAGUUAGUUUUGAGUAUAUUUUUGUUACUUUUGAUUUGAGAGUCUUUGUAAAGCAGGUGGUUUAGGUUAUUAGGCUUAGUUAUCUGCAGUAUUUAAAACACUACGGUUAUGCUAGCUAUAAAUCAAUUUUUUUCUCAUGCCAUACAGUAAUCAUAACUCCAAAACAACCAACAAACCACAUGAAGUCGAGAAUGAUUAGCUCUUUUCAUUUGUUACAUUAGGCUUUAGUCUCUACAUCUAACCAUAUUGACAUACCUGCUUUAUAUUGUGUAUUGUACCUUCUAUUCAAUUUGUAUGAUGUUGUGAUUUGUUUUGUUUCUUAGAGGAUCUCUGGUGGUAGUAUCUUUGGAUGGUAGUACUAUCUUUCCAUCUUUAUAAAUUAGGAAUGGUAGAAAGUGAAAAGGACAUCAUUUUCAUUAUGUUUUUGUCUAGAUUUAAACCAAAAGUGAAUCAAAGCUGUUGGAAUCAAGAAGAUACAGAAAAAAAAGAAAAAAAAAAAAGAAGCAAAGUUUAUUAUCUAGAUAGAUAACAAACCAACUGAACAGGGAUAGAUCAUUUUUUGGGAAAUUGGAGAUAUGAGGUAGAAGUUUCUAGGGUAGAUAGAAGUCUCCCAGCUAGAGCAUUUUGGGAACGAUGACCUUUUUGAACAAGCUCCAGCAAGAACCUUUGCUAGAUUAGCUUAUAACCCUUCUAUAAAACUAGCAUUUUUGCACCAGUUCCAGUUGAACAAGCAUCAAAUAAUAUGUAAUGUGUAUAAACACUGUUUGACUACUUCAAUAAUAUGUAACAAUGUUGUUUUUGUA
Long non-coding RNA from Rosa chinensis, 1991 nucleotides. RefSeq lists it as uncharacterized. Lineage: Eukaryota; Viridiplantae; Streptophyta; Magnoliopsida; Rosales; Rosaceae. The transcript is spliced from 2 exons. The record is from RefSeq and is a predicted model, not a curated record.